GAUGAAGAACGUAGCAAACUGCGAUAAGUAAUGUGAAUUGCAGAAUUCAGUGAAUCAUCGAAUCUUUGAACGCACAUUGCGCCCCCUGGUAUUCCGGGGGGCAUGCCUGUUCGAGCGUCAUUUCACCACUCAAGCCUCGCUUGGUAUUGGGCAACGCGGUCCGCCGCGUGCCUCAAAUCGACCGGCUGGGUCUUCUGUCCCCUAAGCGUUGUGGAAACUAUUCGCUAAAGGGUGUUCGGGAGGCUACGCCGUAAAACAACCCCAUUUCUAAGGUUGACCUCGGAUCAGGUAGGGAUACCCGCUGAACUUAAGCAUAUCAAUAAGCGGAGGA
RNAcentral lists this unclassified non-coding RNA (331 nucleotides) under soil metagenome. Its description in RNAcentral is "partial contains 5.8S ribosomal RNA, internal transcribed spacer 2, and large subunit ribosomal RNA". The stretch from base 1 to 120 matches the Rfam family "5.8S ribosomal RNA", at positions 35 to 154 of the family's 154-position model. The record is from RNAcentral.